UUUCGAGUUUUCGUUCCUUUCUUACUUUCAUUCGUUCCUCCACCGCCGCUGAGCUCAGUGACCCACUGCCGCCGUCCGUGGCCAUUCGAGGAGUCUCUCUUCGUACUGUCGGCGUUAUCCAAGUCGAACCCCCGUUCUCUGUCUUCUUCCUCGCUCGCCGCCCAUCCUCCAUCAGAUUCGUCCUGCUCGCGAUCGUCCUGUUGCCGUCGCCGUCGCCUCGUCGCCCUCUCGCUGCUCCCUCCUCGCCAUUUUGGCUGUCGUCCCUUAUCUUCUCCUCUGAUUUUAGAUUCUGAGCUGAGUCUCUGUUCUGAGUUUGAAAUUGGAUUAUUUAUUUGAUUUGUUGAAUGUUAAACCAAACCUGUGUCGUCGUCGUCCUAGAAAGCUGUGUCGCCGUCCUAGGAAGCUGUGUCGCCGUUGUGUGGAAGCUCUGUGGCCGUCGUCGUCUCCUCUAUUGGAGCGCUCUCUCUAUAAAUGCUUUGUAAAAAUAGGUCAAUCUCUAAUGAAUCAUAGCCGAGUAUAUGUGCUUCAUUUGGUUUUGUCUGCUGCUUUUAAAUGAAUGCUGGACAGAGCAAACCCUUGUACUCCACUUAGAAAUGGUUGGUUCUAUGGUUUCAUGCAUAGACACAUCGGAUUCAGUUGGAAGUAGGCUAUUUUUAUGCUUUAGAGUGAAGAUACUACUAUGUACUUGGAUUCAGUUGUCCUUUGUAGUUUGUGGUUUGAAGUGUUUGAUUUGAUGUUAUGAAUGCUGUGAUAAUCAGUAAUCCUGUUGUAGCUUCAAA
Non-coding RNA from Arachis ipaensis, 779 nucleotides. Lineage: Eukaryota; Viridiplantae; Streptophyta; Magnoliopsida; Fabales; Fabaceae. The record is from RefSeq and is a predicted model, not a curated record.